GAUGAACGCUGGCGGCGUGCCUAAUACAUGCAAGUCGAGCGAACAGAUAAGGAGCUUGCUCCUUUGACGUUAGCGGCGGACGGGUGAGUAACACGUGGGUAACCUACCUAUAAGACUGGGAUAACUUCGGGAAACCGGAGCUAAUACCGGAUAACAUUUGGAACCGCAUGGUUCUAAAGUGAAAGAUGGUUUUGCUAUCACUUAUAUAUGGACCCGCGCCGUAUUAGCUAGUUGGUAAGGUAACGGCUUACCAAGGCGACGAUACGUAGCCGACCUGAGAGGGUGAUCGGCCACACUGGAACUGAGACACGGUCCAGACUCCUACGAGAGGCAGCAGUAGGGAAUCUUCCGCAAUGGGCGAAAGCCUGACGGAGCAACGCCGCGUGAGUGAUGAAGGGUUUCGGCUCGUAAAACUCUGUUAUUAGGGAAGAACAAUUGUGUAAGUAACUGUGCACGUCUUGACGGUACCUAAUCAGAAAGCCACGGCUAACUACGUG
This 497-nucleotide ribosomal RNA is filed under the name uncultured bacterium. RNAcentral's name for it is "partial 16S ribosomal RNA". It matches the Rfam family "Bacterial small subunit ribosomal RNA", at positions 28 to 507 of the family's 1533-position model. The record is from RNAcentral.